UUUUUUACACUUGCUUGUUUGACAUGUUUCUUGUGUUGUUCAUCUCUUUCAUACUUAUAUACACUAGCUUGUUUCAAUUUUUCUCUGUACUUGUCAUUUUCUUGAUAUUUCUGAAUUCCAGAUUCUUUUAAAGCAUCUCUGUAUUCCUUGUCCUCUCGAUAUUUCUUAAUACCUGCUUGUCUUAAAUUAUCUCUGUAUGUCUGAUCUUCUUCAUACUUCUUAACUUUUUUCAAACGUGUUCCUUCAUUUUCCCAAUAUUUUCUUUUCAGCGUGGAAGUCUUUCUUGCUUUAAAUUCCUCAUCUUUCCUGUACCUUAUCCUUUCUUUUUCAGCUUUUGAUAAGACUUUUUAAUUCAUCAUCCGAAUAGUUAUCGAAUCAUUAAUUUUCAUUGUUGGCACCUCAUAUUUCCUAUCAAAUUCAUUCUUUUCCCUUCCAACUG
RNAcentral lists this long non-coding RNA (439 nucleotides) under Mytilus galloprovincialis (Mediterranean mussel). The record is from RNAcentral. Lineage: Eukaryota; Metazoa; Mollusca; Bivalvia; Mytilida; Mytilidae.